Molecule: ribosomal RNA, 253 nt
Filed under: uncultured bacterium
Lineage: Bacteria
Description: partial 16S ribosomal RNA
Rfam family: Bacterial small subunit ribosomal RNA
Source: RNAcentral
UACAGAGGGUGCUAGCGUUGUUCGGAAUCAUUGGGCGUAAAGGGCGUGUAGGCGGUUUGUCGCGUCGGGAGUGAAAACUCAGGGCUUAACCCUGAGCCUGCUUCCGAUACGGGCAGACUAGAGGUAUGCAGGGGAGAACGGAAUUCCUGGUGUAGCGGUGAAAUGCGCAGAUAUCAGGAGGAACACCGGUGGCGAAGGCGGUUCUCUGGGCAUUACCUGACGCUGAGGAGCGAAAGUGUGGGGAGCAAACAGG